UUAUAUUCCGCCUCUCGGUUUGGUGCUCGACUUGCUAACGAAGAAUGUUGAAGACGAAGAUAAGAAGGCCACACCGAGAGAGAGAGGCUUUGCAGGCACCGCAAGGUAUCUGGAGACCCUUUUCACCCUCCCCACGAGAGGAAGGUUUAGGGUCGGUGGUCGACCGCCGAAGGAGGAGGAGGAGGCUGGGGUCCACCGGAGCGGAUAAGCACGCCGCGAGCCGGCGGCGAAGGGUAGGAGCGAAGGCGAUGGCCUGGUGGGACAAGGCCGUGGCUUUCCCCGUGAAGCGGGCCUGCGUCGCCGUCGCCGCCGCCGCCGCCGCCGCCCGGGUCAAGGCUCCAAACCCCAGUGGUGGAAUUCAGAAGCUUCACGAUGAUGUUCAGAUGUGUGGAUACCAGGAUGUGCAGGUCAUGUGGGAGAUGGUGAGGAGAUCAGAAAUGGAGUUAUCGAACAAGCGCAAAAGGUGCAAGAGACUGCUGUGGAGGCUACCGACUUGGUCGAAUCGAACAUCUUCCACUGAUCUCAUGGAUCCUCACUGAGAGAGUUUGGCAGUAGACUUGAGCAGGAUUCAGCUGAUACUAAUUGCAUCUGCCCCUCCUUUUCUACCACCAGUGAGAUGUAAGAAAUAAAAGUGUGAUAGUGAGCUUGAACAAACAUUAACUAGUAUAUUUCUCUCCCCUGUCUCACACAAUGAGAUACAAGAAUUGUGUACAUUAUCCAGAUCAUGUGUAUAUGUGAAUAUUACUAUCAGGAAUGGCACCCCAAAAUUAAAAGGAGGUGGAAAAUUGGUGCAAAA
Molecule: long non-coding RNA, 796 nt
Organism: Musa acuminata AAA Group (dessert banana)
Lineage: Eukaryota; Viridiplantae; Streptophyta; Magnoliopsida; Zingiberales; Musaceae
Exons: 2
Source: RefSeq, a predicted model, not a curated record